AUGGUGGAAAUCACAGAAGAGAGGAUGAGGGAGUUCGUGGGAUGGGAUACACACAAGCGUGCUCGCCUGCUCGAGAUUGGCUCCUGGUUCGACACCAACGCGGAGAUGCGGGUAGUGGCACAUGCAGUGGUGGAAUGGAUGUCGAAGGAAGAAGGGGGACUAUUCAGGAGGAGGUGCAAGUGCCAUGCGUUGGAGAUCCGUUGUGGGCAAUGGAUCAGCGGAUUCAAUGGAUCCGGCGAGGGCAGGCAAGUGGGCGAUGUUCGUUUCGUUCUCCACCACGCCGCUAGCCCCGAUGAUGAGGGUUUCUGCGAUGAGGGCAGGCAAGGCGGUCCUGGAUCUUCUGGCGCCGGGAUCGGCUACAGCCCCGAUUAUGAUCAACGAGGGCGAAGGGAGCAGAAGAAGGGGGACUCAAGUGCGUGA
RNAcentral lists this ribosomal RNA (420 nucleotides) under Triticum aestivum (bread wheat). RNAcentral describes it as "partial small subunit ribosomal RNA". Lineage: Eukaryota; Viridiplantae; Streptophyta; Magnoliopsida; Poales; Poaceae. The record is from RNAcentral.